AUUGAACGCUGGCGGCAUGCCUUACACAUGCAAGUCGAACGGUAACAGGUUAAGCUGACGAGUGGCGAACGGGUGAGUAAUGUAUCGGAACGUGCCCAGUCGUGGGGGAUAACUGCUCGAAAGAGCAGCUAAUACCGCAUACGACCUGAGGGUGAAAGCGGGGGAUCGCAAGACCUCGCGCGAUUGGAGCGGCCGAUAUCAGAUUAGGUAGUUGGUGAGGUAAAGGCUCACCAAGCCGACGAUCUGUAGCUGGUCUGAGAGGACGACCAGCCACACUGGGACUGAGACACGGCCCAGACUCCUACGGGAGGCAGCAGUGGGGAAUUUUGGACAAAGGGAGCAAGCCUGAUCCAGCCAUGCCGCGUGCGGGAAGAAGGCCUUCGGGUUGUAAACCGCUUUUGUCAGGGAAGAAAAGGUUCUGGCUAAUACCUGGGACUCAUGACGGUACCUGAAGAAUAAGCACCGGCUAACUACGUG
RNAcentral lists this ribosomal RNA (477 nucleotides) under uncultured bacterium. RNAcentral's name for it is "partial 16S ribosomal RNA". It matches the Rfam family "Bacterial small subunit ribosomal RNA", at positions 30 to 507 of the family's 1533-position model. The record is from RNAcentral.